AUACUUUAAUUUAUGCCAGAAUCACCCUAUAUUGAAAGGGCUGGUUGACCAGCUAUGGCGAUAAACGGCCUGUGAAAUAAGCGAUGCGGACCCGGGGGCGGUACCCGGCGCCUCCACCAAAUUUUUUCCUUAGAUUUAAAGGACACCUUGGGGGCGAAAUAGGAUCGACGCGCGUGUAAAGACUGGUUUUUUGCCCGGCAUUGUACCGCCGUUAUCGGGCUAAUUUACAAAUGCCAAUGAUAAUGAUUUGGCCCUUGCUGCCUAAAUACAGGUAAGCGCGGUCCGGGGGGUACCGGGCAACAGGAUCCCCCCACU
This 315-nucleotide transfer-messenger RNA is filed under the name Rhodospirillaceae bacterium. It matches the Rfam family "Alphaproteobacteria transfer-messenger RNA". Rfam says of the family: Bacterial tmRNA, also known as 10Sa RNA or SsrA, is named for its dual tRNA and mRNA-like properties. Its role is to liberate the mRNA from a stalled ribosome. The record is from RNAcentral. Lineage: Bacteria; Pseudomonadati; Pseudomonadota; Alphaproteobacteria; Rhodospirillales; Rhodospirillaceae.